This is a small nucleolar RNA of Ipomoea triloba (trilobed morning glory), 100 nucleotides long. RefSeq annotates it as small nucleolar RNA R30/Z108. Lineage: Eukaryota; Viridiplantae; Streptophyta; Magnoliopsida; Solanales; Convolvulaceae. The transcript has a single exon. The record is from RefSeq and is a predicted model, not a curated record.
AGGGAUUGCCAUGAGGAUUUCUAAGCUCCCUCUUCCGAUUAAAGCUGAGGAAAUUUGCUGGCAGAAUCGAACCACUUACAAUCUAGCCAUUACUGAGCAA